CCUUGUGAUGCUAGCUUGUAUGUGAGUGUGUUUAUUUUGGUUGAAACGAAGGGCAAAGUUGAUUUGUGUGACAAUGAUUGUAGAGUAAAAGACAUUAAUGAGCUUGAGUUAAAGGUGAAAAAAGAUUUCAUGCAUUAAAAAAACAUUUUAUCAUGUUUGUUGAUCCCUCAUAAAGCUUUUGCAUUUAUCUUGCACUAGUACAGUAAAAGGGAACGACAACGAUUAUUUUCUUUUAUCCGCAGCGGCUCCGCAAUCGAGGUAUAUACAUAUGAGGCCCGGCUAGCGAUGGCGUCCUUUACCUACAACUCAUAAAGCUUUUGCAUUUAUCUUGCACUAGUACAGUAAAAGGAAACGACAACGAUUAUUUUCUUUUAUCCGCAGCGGCUCCGCAAUCGAGGUAUAUACAUAUGAGGUAAAAAGUCUAUCACUUUUUUCUUCGGUUGUGAACCGGGACAGUAGAGGGAGGGGUCUUAUCCCUCGGUUUGGAGUUGAACCGAGGCGGUAAAAAGAUUUUUUUUAAUAUUUUACGAAAGAAUAAAGCGAGAUAUUAGUCUUUAUUAAUAUAUGCAUCUGGUGGUCUCAUUCACGUUUUUGUAUUGGUUUAUGAUUUGGGCCCGCCUAGCGAUGGCGUCCUUUACCUACAUCUAUGUGUCUUUCUCUUUGAAUCCCAAAAGAAGAUAUCAUGAAAAUCCAAGAUUGAGUUUCCUAGUUUUACCUUUUUCAUUGCUAUUAUUUUAUGUUUGCAGCUGGA
Molecule: small RNA, 751 nt
Filed under: Vigna angularis var. angularis
Lineage: Eukaryota; Viridiplantae; Streptophyta; Magnoliopsida; Fabales; Fabaceae
Description: Non-protein coding transcript
Source: RNAcentral